Molecule: ribosomal RNA, 468 nt
Filed under: uncultured bacterium
Lineage: Bacteria
Description: partial 16S ribosomal RNA
Rfam family: Bacterial small subunit ribosomal RNA
Source: RNAcentral
GACGAACGCUGGCGGCGUGCUUAACACAUGCAAGUCGAACGGAAAGGCCCUUCUUUUGUGGGGUGCUCGGGUGGCGAACGGAUGAGUAACAUGUGAGUAACCUGCCCUUGACUUUGGUAUAACUUCAGGAAACUGGGGCUAAUCCCGGAUGGGAGCUCCUGCUGCUUGGUGGGGGUUGGAAUGUUUCGGCGGUUGGGGAUGGACUCGCGGCUUAUCAGCUUGUUGGUGGGGUAGUGGCGUACCAAGGCUUUGACGGGUGGCCGGCCUGAGAGGGUGACCGGCCACAUUGGGACUGAGAUACGGCCCAGACUCCGACGGGAGGGAGCAGUGGGGGAUAUUGCACUAUGGGCGGAAGCCUGAUGCAGCAACGCCGCGUGGGGGAUGACGGCCUUCGGGUUGUAAACCGCUUUCGCCUGUGACGAAGCGGGAGUGACGGUAAUGGGUAAAGAAGCACCGGCUAACUACGUG